UACGGGGGGGGCAAGCGUUGUUCGGAAUUACUGGGCGUAAAGGGCUCGUAGGCGGCCAACUAAGUCAGACGUGAAAUCCCUCGGCUUAACCGGGGAACUGCGUCUGAUACUGGAUGGCUUGAGUUCGGGAGAGGGAUGCGGAAUUCCAGGUGUAGCGGUGAAAUGCGUAGAUAUCGUAAGGAAGACCAGUGGCGAAGGCGGGUCUCUGGACAGUUCCUGACGCUGAGGCACGAAGGCCAGGGGAGCAAACGGG
This 253-nucleotide ribosomal RNA is filed under the name uncultured bacterium. RNAcentral describes it as "partial 16S ribosomal RNA". It matches the Rfam family "Bacterial small subunit ribosomal RNA", at positions 524 to 776 of the family's 1533-position model. The record is from RNAcentral.